Molecule: ribosomal RNA, 468 nt
Filed under: uncultured bacterium
Lineage: Bacteria
Description: partial 16S ribosomal RNA
Rfam family: Bacterial small subunit ribosomal RNA
Source: RNAcentral
GAUGAACGCUGGCGGCGUGCUUAACACAUGCAAGUCGAACGGAAAGGCCCUGCUCUUGUGGCGUGCUCGUGUGGCGCGCGUGAGAGUCUCACGUGAGUAGGCUGACCAUAACUGUGGGCUAUCUCUAAGAACCCGGAGCUAAAACAGCAUAGGAGCUACUGCUCCCUGGGGGGGGUUGGCGAGUGACGGCGUCUGUGGAUGGACUAGCGGCUUAUGAGCUGGUAGGUGGGGUAGUGGCUUACCACGGCUUUGACGGGUAGGCGGCCUGAGAGGGGGACCGGCAACCAUGGGAGUGAGAUGCGGCGCAGAAGCCUACGGGAGGCAGCAGUGGGGAAUAUUGCACAAUGGGCGGAAGCCUGAUGCAGCAACGCCGCGGGCGGGAUGACGGCCUUCGGGUGGUAAACAGCUUUCGUCGGUGACGAAGAGUGAGUGACGGUAACGGGUAAAGAAGCACCGGCUAACUACGUG